CUGCAUUCGCCACUCUUGAAAAGUUUACUGGCCGGUUGUCGUGAGAUCUUUCCGUUCUCCGUCGACUAAUCUGCUUACCGAACUUCUUAUAUUC
Corylus avellana is the source of this 94-nucleotide small nucleolar RNA. RefSeq annotates it as small nucleolar RNA snoR109. The record is from RefSeq and is a predicted model, not a curated record. NCBI's taxonomy places the organism in Eukaryota, Viridiplantae, Streptophyta, Magnoliopsida, Fagales, Betulaceae.